RNAcentral lists this long non-coding RNA (997 nucleotides) under Pandoravirus salinus. RNAcentral's name for it is "putative ncRNA". The record is from RNAcentral.
CGCCGACGAGCCCGGCUCUGGUGACCGCCGCGAGCGACUCGGCGUCGCGCGAUUCUACCAGGGCCUUGGCGCCGGCGACCGGGUCCCACGGAAAGCCAUUGGCCAAAAGGCGGCAUAAGGCAAAGGUCUGGUGGCGCUCGACGGCGCGCAGGCAAAACUUGGCCAGCCGCGGACACGCGCGCUCACUCGCCAUGAACCACGCAUCGCCACCCAGGGGGCUCGACACGGCCUCUAACAUACACUCUUGGACGUCCCAUGCGAGGCCGCGUGCAAUGAUCCGCUCCAGGCUGUCGGUAUCGUCCAUCCACGCCAUAUAGGCCGCCAUCUCGGGGUCCCACGGCACCCCAGCGUCAAGAAGCGCCUCGACCAUAUCUGUGUCGUACUCUCGGACGGCCUUGCGCACGUGCCAGGGCUCCCAUCGGUAUCCGCGCGUCGCCAAGAGAGGAACCGACGCAGCGUCGCCCGAUUCGAGUAUGGUCCGCGCCGCGUUGUCGACGUCGGCGCUCUUUGGAUCAAAGGGACAACCCGAUUCGAGCACCAGGGCCAACCACGCCGAGCCCCGCCGCACUGCCAGGGUGCACGUGCGGUCGCUCCACGGGCAGCCAUGCGCAAUCAGGUAGCGCAGGCACGCCAUGUGUGCCUCGCCGCGCUCGCUCUGUGAAUGGGUGAAACCCUUGGGGUUGAGCGCAGCGUCCAUGGCCUCUGCGUCCAACGGGCAUUCGCCCUCGUGCAGACGCACAAGGCACGCAAGGUUGCCGGCGGCGGCCGCCGACACCACCGUCUCGGUGGCACCUUUGGCGCUACGUGUCCCAUUGUUGGCGCAACGAGUCGUCGCCGGCUGGGUGUGCAGGGCGCCGGCCGGCAUGGGCGUUGUUGGAGAAUGCGACAUGUGCACAGUGGAUCGCAAGGUCGGGCGUUGCUGGCCAGACGGUUGCGUGGUCGACGAGGAGUGAAAUACAGGAAACCGCGCCAUUCUCCCCUUUUUUUAUUAUUGUCA